This 407-nucleotide ribosomal RNA is filed under the name uncultured eukaryote. Its description in RNAcentral is "SSU rRNA". It matches the Rfam family "Eukaryotic small subunit ribosomal RNA", at positions 460 to 872 of the family's 1831-position model. The record is from RNAcentral.
GGAGGUAGUGACAAGAAAUAACAAUACAGGGCUCUCUGAGUCUUGUAAUUGGAAUGAGUACAAUUUACAUCUCUUCACGAGGAUCAAUUGGAGGGCAAGUCUGGUGCCAGCAGCCGCGGUAAUUCCAGCUCCAAUAGCGUAUAUUAAAGUUGUUGCAGUUAGAACGCUCGUAGUCGGAUUUCGGGGCGGGCCGACCGGUCUGCCGAUGGGUACGCACUGGUCGGCGCGUCCUUCCUUCCGGAGACCGUGCCUACUCUUAACUGAGCGGGGGCGGGAGACGGAUCGUUUACUUUGAAAAAAUCAGAGUGUUUCAAGCAGGCAGCUCGCUCUUGCAUGGAUUAGCAUGGGAUAAUGAAAUAGGACUUUGGUGCUAUUUUGUUGGUUUCGAACACCGAAGUAAUGAUUAA